GGGUGCAUAGCUCAGUAGGUAGAGCAACGGGCUUUUAAUCUGGUGGUCAUUGGUUCGAGUCCAAUUGUACUUA
RNAcentral lists this transfer RNA (73 nucleotides) under Iotrochota birotulata (green finger sponge). RNAcentral's name for it is "tRNA-Lys". It matches the Rfam family "tRNA". Rfam says of the family: Transfer RNA (tRNA) molecules are approximately 80 nucleotides in length. Their secondary structure includes four short double-helical elements and three loops (D, anti-codon, and T loops). Lineage: Eukaryota; Metazoa; Porifera; Demospongiae; Poecilosclerida; Iotrochotidae. The record is from RNAcentral.